CCCGAUGGUUUUUCUUCGUGUUUAAUUAUGUUGCAAUGUUUUGCUAAAAAAGCACCAACAGUUCCUAACGGGGCACUGUCUGUUUAUUUCUAUGGUCGCAACACCGCCGAAGAAGAGGAGGUGAAAGCUGAUUCGCUGGAAGCGGAAAACGUCACUUCCGCAAGUUAGUUAAGUACGUGAGACAAACGUUCGUUGGCCACGUUUUCGUUUCGACCGUUGAAGAGCAAGCUGCUAAAUCUGGCGUCUCUUGUUGAAGUGGUUUUUAAAAGGAUUUAAAGCUUUGUUUGUUCUAUUUCAACCACUAGUUGAUACUAUUAUAAAUCAUUUACUUUUAGACAACCAAAGACAAUUUUUUUUUCUUGGCAAUGUUUCUUGAAAUCACGACAAUGAAAGGAAACUACCAGAAGGACAUCAAGACCGCGCCUGUUCACAAGAAAAAGUGGUCAAAACCGAAGAGGAGGACAUUUCUGCGCUCAAAUAUGGGCGAAAGGAGAAGAAGGGUCCGCGUCUGGUCGUCGUCGAGACCGCAGCGGAGUCCGGACCGUGUCGACAGGACAGCUACGGGGAAUCAACGUCACCUAACAGUAGCCAUGGCACCAAGAAACACGACGCAAUAUUUAAUGGACCUGGUGUAUGCUGAGAGAUUAGACGUUUCAAUGGAGGCAUGUGACAUCUUUGGACUUUCAGCAGCGAGACUUCGAGAGCGUGUUCUUCAGGAAUGAAAUCUGACGUGUUUUCCAAAACCUGACUCGAUUUCGUCGGAACGAGGCGACCGGGCUGCUGUGUAACCAUAGACAGUAACAUCAUUGCGCAGACUCCAACUCGGGGAGGCGGAACGCUCUGCGUCACAGCUGCGCGAUGACGUGUACGCCCCGCCCUCAGCACGGCCACCAUCACGUGGCCAGCAGCUUGGAAGUCAAUUGACCCUUCGCAAAGACCCGCCCCCACUUCAUUACUGUUGCUACAUCCGAAAAGCCAUGAUGCUCUCACGCAGUGAAAAAUACAUCACAGAGCAAAGAGGAAACAGACAAGCACCGACAUUCAAGACAGAGCUGAUUACUUUAGGUAUGAAUCAAAGUCUCCGCUUUCAAAUUUUGUCAUUUUGUAAGAAAUUCAAACAAUAAAUAGGCUCUUUCAUGUGUCGUGACAGAUUGCUGUAGCGCCUUAGUUCAGGCAGCUCGUGAACCAAUCAUCUCUUCCUCUUUACUAACACAAAAUAAACAUGAAUGAGCAUCAGAAGGUAUCUUGUUUCAACUGUGGAAAGAUGUCAAU
This is a long non-coding RNA of Cyprinus carpio carpio, 1272 nucleotides long. The record is from Ensembl. NCBI's taxonomy places the organism in Eukaryota, Metazoa, Chordata, Actinopteri, Cypriniformes, Cyprinidae.